RNAcentral lists this transfer RNA (88 nucleotides) under Ustilaginoidea virens. It matches the Rfam family "tRNA". Rfam says of the family: Transfer RNA (tRNA) molecules are approximately 80 nucleotides in length. Their secondary structure includes four short double-helical elements and three loops (D, anti-codon, and T loops). Lineage: Eukaryota; Fungi; Ascomycota; Sordariomycetes; Hypocreales; Clavicipitaceae. The record is from Rfam by way of RNAcentral.
GGCCCAUUAGUCUAGGGGUUAGGACGUUGGAUUUUGACCUGACAAUCGGAAUCUUCCAAAGACACCAGUUCGAAUCUGGUAUGGACCU